GUGCGCAGCAGCGUCGUAACCAGGUCCGGUUCCCCGGCUGCUCCUUUUCCAGGAGGCCUGUCGUGCUACUGAAGAGCGACCCUGCAGCGCAGAGGAGGGCGCAGCCCGGCAGGCACAGGAGCCUAAGCCUGCCUUUCCGCGGAGGUUCAAGGCAGAAAGAAACCCAUUCCCAGGCUGAGGUAGCCAAGGUCACAGCAAGAACCUUCUCAGGGAAAUUGGGUGAAAGGAAAAAGACGCUGGCGCAGGCUUUGCUGUCAUACCUCAAAGUGCCAGGGUUAGGCCACUGCGUGUGACAAGCAUCAUGAAGACAGCAAGAGCAUGUGUGGGUACCACAGGGGAAGUUGCGCAGAGAGGCCUCAUUCACUGAAGAAAGCGAUUGAAUUGAAGUCAAGAGGAGUCAAGAUGAUGCCUAGCAAGGACAGCAGCCAUAAAAACUCCGUCUAUUCAAUUUGACCUGUCAAUAAUGAAGAAAGAAAACUACUGGAAGAUGAGAAGAAAGGAACUAAUUAUUUUAAAAUAAAAUUUUAGAAUUUUGUUAUGGUUAGCUUUUUGUUCAGAAUGGUCAAUAAAAUAGGUGAGGUACUAUUUGUAAUUAUUUUGAAAUUGAUUUUUUUAUGGAUUAAAAACCUUGCAGUAACAUAGAACUACAUAUCAAGUGAACCCUUACAUCAAAUCAAUAGG
Molecule: long non-coding RNA, 681 nt
Filed under: Sus scrofa (pig)
Lineage: Eukaryota; Metazoa; Chordata; Mammalia; Artiodactyla; Suidae
Source: RNAcentral